GAUGAAGAACGCAGCGAAAUGCGAUACGUAAUGUGAAUUGCAGAAUUCAGUGAAUCAUCGAGUCUUUGAACGCACAUUGCGCCCCCUGGUAUUCCGGGGGGCAUGCCUGUCCGAGCGUCAUUGCUGCCCUCAAGCACGGCUUGUGUGUUGGGCCUCCGUCCUCCUCCCGGGGGACGGGCCCGAAAGGCAGCGGCGGCACCGCGUCCGGUCCUCGAGCGUAUGGGGCUUCGUCACCCGCUCUUGUANGNCCGGCCGGCGCUUGCCGACACAUCAAUCUUUUUUCCAGGUUGACCUCGGAUCAGGUAGGGAUACCCGCUGAACUUAAGCAUAUCAAUAAGCGGAGGA
Molecule: unclassified non-coding RNA, 345 nt
Filed under: soil metagenome
Description: partial contains 5.8S ribosomal RNA, internal transcribed spacer 2, and large subunit ribosomal RNA
Rfam family: 5.8S ribosomal RNA (bases 1-120)
Source: RNAcentral